Molecule: transfer RNA, 61 nt
Filed under: Valeriana sorbifolia
Lineage: Eukaryota; Viridiplantae; Streptophyta; Magnoliopsida; Dipsacales; Caprifoliaceae
Description: partial tRNA-Phe
Source: RNAcentral
GUCGGGAUAGCUCAGGUGGUAGAGCAGAGGACUGAAAAUCCUCGGGCACCAGUCAAAUAAG